GGAGGUGUUCACUAGGACAAACAACCCAUCCAUUCUCGAUCUGUAUCCUCGUCUAUUCUAGAGAACAACACAUUUGUGUCUCGGCGCUUGAGCCUUAUUUGUCUUCCUCGAUAGAGACGGGGGCUAUACAGUCUAAUGAGAUGCUCAAAGGUGAAAGCAUCCCUUCAACCUUGCUCACCAAAAAUCAAAAUAAAAUAACAGCGGAAAAAGUCGAUGAUAACAGGAUCGACAGUAUCUAAUGUAAAAGGGUAAGUGCAAACACUUAAAAUCCAUUUCAUGUAAGUAGUGAUGUCCUCUUCGGGGGUAGGAAUCACCACCUCUUUGUCUUCCUAGUAGCAAUCUCUCUUUAUUUGUUCGAGAUCGCCCUUACUUAUCGAGCCUAUAUAUCUUGACAUUGGCUCACAUCGACCACGGGCCGACGAGGGUUUCUCUACUUUAAUAUUGGAAGUGAGAUCGCACACCCCAGGAACAUACCCCUCGAGGCGUGGCUCCUCUGACGUUUUGUCGCCAGCCGACGACGAUGAAGAGGCUUUCUCCUUUUGAGGAACGAUUUUAGAUAUUUUAGAUAUAUUUAUAUGAGUUCUGAGGAAGAUGAAGAUGAAGUUUGAGAAGAUUGGCAAACGGGAUUUGAAGAAUUUGCAAAAUUGAAAAGUUUGAAAGAAGUAGAAGAGCUUUGAAGAUUAAGAGAAAUUUAGAAACUAAAGUUUGAGAGAAUUAUGAAGAUAGACCUAUUUAUAAUGUUUGCUAUGAAAGUUUGAAGGAGCUAGUGGCUAACCAUCGACUAACGAUCAUUAAUGAUUUUGGGAAACGAUCUAUUUUUAAGGUUAUUGAUUGUGCUGACACGACGCCUCAAUCUCUUACAUCACGAGGGUGACGCCAUAAUGGUCGCGGUACAAAAUCGAAGGCUCAGUUCGUUUCUUCUUAUUACUCUCCAAGAAACGAGGGACUAUCUAUAUACAGUUAAAAAUGGGCUUGUCAUAUUUUUCUAUUUAAUCGAGACCAGGUAAUCACGUCAAGGGUCAGCCUCGUAAUGGGUCAGGCCAGAGUACGAAGACAUGGUAUCGAGUUCGAGAAUCAACGUAUCCGUCGAGAUCGAGGCCAUCGGCGAUAGAGACCUAAUAUGAUCAACUUCGUGCAAUGCGCAAUAACGAAAAGAUGAAAUAUCCAUAAUCCGUGGGAGAGCACGUCAAAAAUAGGGCAAUUAAUUAGGCCAAUCAUGAAAUUUACUUUUGUAAAUGGAGUUAUACCAUUAUUAGGAUUUCACUAUAUAAAGGGGAAUCCCCAUCAUUUGUAAGGACCUUACAUUCAUACAGAUCAAAGCAGUACAAUAUUCUUUCUUUAAUUUACGUUCUCUUGUUCACUAGUCUGGUGCCUUUUAAUUGUUCUUGUUUUACUAGCUCGAGGGUAUUCCACUCGAGGGCUCUAUUCAAACACUGCUUUGAUUUACAUUAUUGUCAAUUUCUAUUGUUUAUUAAUUACACUUCUCAAUUGAUAUUAAGUAAAAUCACAUAUCCUUAAAACCACCUUUCAAAUUUAAUUGUUACCCAAUUUUUAGGGUAAACACUAACUGUUUCGGCAAUCAGAAGUUUAAUGUGUCGAUAUUAAGGUCACUUUUUCUCUAGUCAGCAAUGAACUGAAUAAAUUAAUGUUGAUACUUGGCGUAAUCAAUAGGUUAAACACGAUUAAGACUGACAGAAUAUGAAAUUAUGCUAUGAAUUAUAUAUCAAAAUUUCAAAUUCCAAGUAGUUUAAAACUGACUUUUAAAAGUACGUACCACCAACUUGGAUUAUCAAAUUGAACAUCUGAAUUUAAGUCUUCAGUCAAUAACAAAACUUAAUUUUUUAAAAACUAUCAUCUUGGAUUCUUCUUGAAAUGUUUGGUGGGAUGAAAUCUCUAUUCAUCUUCUGAAUGUGACCAUAGUUAGUUUCCAUUUUAUUAUCAUAUAUGAUUUAAUUUAUAUACAUUGACCAUGAUGAAGAGAAUGUAACACUAUUGAUGUAUUUUAAAUUUGAACUUCUUGUAGCAUGUAAUGUGUUCCAUUUUCCACGUAAUAAGCUUUACUAAUUAGUGAUAGUUACCUAUAGUUUAUUAUAACUGAUCCGAUAGUUUAAAUUUCUUUUACACUGUAUGUAUAUAAAGGUGUCAUAAUUCAAAAUUCACUAGUCGUUAUGGUAUCUAACUCAAUCCGCUAGGUAAGACAACUAAUAACAAUCCAAUUUCAAUAAUAUCAAUAAAACAAUUAAACAAAAGGAAUUAUCUGAAUCUUAUACAUUUUGAGAGUUGAUAGUAAAAAUCAUGAAAUUCUAAGAAUAGAGUUUACAAAGCUAAUAUGAAGUAAAUACAUCUUCUAUUUGAAAAGUACAUAAACAGAGUUUUAUAAAUCAAUGGCUACCUUGAACAAGAGCCAUCUACAACAGGUACACAGGUACACCUUCAAAUUCAGCUCACAUUGAGCACAGCAACAAUAACAGCCAACAUCUGCACGCAAUGUGUAGAAGCGUAAUAUGAGUACAACCGACCCAUGUACUCAAUAAGUAACAAACCUAACCUUAGAUUGAAAGUAGUGAUGAGUUGGAAUAUAGGUCGGGUCCAACACCAAUAACCAAUAGCAGUUCAUAACAGUGUAAAGAAAAUAAAAAAAGAAGUAACUCGGAAUUUAAACUGCUGAGCCUUUUCCAUAAUUUCCGAAAAUAGUUCAGCUUUUCAAGUAUAUCAGUGAAAAUACAAAUCCUUUACCAAAAUCGUCAAAAAAUAUGAGAUAGUUUUAAAACUCUAAAUUAUCUAAAAAUUCUUUCCAUAAUAAAUAAGAUGUUUCAUUUCCUUUCUAGAUAACAAGUAUGAAAUACCUCUUUAUUGCACACAUAUCAAUAUGUAUAAAUCCGACGAUUUUUUUUGCUAUGGUUCCGCAAUUACGAUACGGAUCUAAUGGUUCAAUAAAAAAUAGAAAUUGGGUGUCAUUUUGUUAAUAUAGUACCAUUUAUGCUUGAAGAAAUGAUAUCGAAACAUAAAUAACAAGCUCAACACAACCCAAACCUAUCUCAAACUCACCUGAGACCCUCAGAACCCUAUCCGAACAUACCAACAAGUCCCAUAAAAUAGAACGAACCUAUUCGAGGCCUGAAAUCACGUAUAAUAACAUCGAAACAACGAAUCACAUCUCAAAUCAAUCUUAAUUAACUUUUUCAAACCUUCAAAUUUUAAUUUUCUCCAAUUAGUGUCGAAUCCUUCUGGAAAUAUCCAAUUGCAAAGUCUUCAAAAUUAUUCUUUGGGCCUAACGGAAUCAUUCAAACUCCAAUCCGAGGUCAACUGUAAAAAAGUUCAACUUACAACUUUUCCAACUUAAAGCUUCAAUCAUGAAAUUCAUCCUUCCAAAUCGAUUCCGAACAAUCAGGAAAUCAAAACAAAAAAUUUACACAAAUUAUAAUACAUCUCGUGGAGAUACUCGUACCCUCAAACUACCGAACAACGUGUAACGUUCAAAACGAUCGAUGGAGUUAUAAUAAAAAGUUAAAAGUAGAGUAUUAUAGUUGUU
Molecule: long non-coding RNA, 3532 nt
Filed under: Nicotiana benthamiana
Lineage: Eukaryota; Viridiplantae; Streptophyta; Magnoliopsida; Solanales; Solanaceae
Description: long non-coding RNA (NBEN_LNC007752)
Source: RNAcentral